RNAcentral lists this ribosomal RNA (476 nucleotides) under uncultured Pseudomonadota bacterium. RNAcentral's name for it is "bacterial SSU rRNA". It matches the Rfam family "Bacterial small subunit ribosomal RNA", at positions 355 to 824 of the family's 1533-position model. Lineage: Bacteria; Pseudomonadati; Pseudomonadota. The record is from RNAcentral.
UCGGGAAUCUUCCGCAAUGGGCGAAAGCCUGACGGAGCGACGCCGCGUGAGCGAUGAAGGCCUUCGGGUUGUAAAGCUCUGUGGGGAGGGAAGAAUAAGGGCAGGCGAAUACCCUGUUUGAUGACGGUACCUCCUUAGCAAGCACCGGCUAACUCUGUGCCAGCAGCCGCGGUAAGACAGAGGGUGCAAACGUUGUUCGGAUUUACUGGGCGUAAAGCGCGUGUAGGCGGCUUGGCAAGUCGGAUGUGAAAGCCCACGGCUCAACCGUGGAAGCGCAUCCGAAACUGCUUCGCUCGAGUCUCGGAGAGGAAGGUGGAAUGCUUGGUGUAGAGGUGAAAUUCGUAGAUAUCAAGCAGAACACCUGCGGCGAAGGCGGCCUUCUGGACGAUGACUGACGCUGAGACGCGAAAGCGUGGGGAGCAAACAGGAUUAGAUACCCUGGUAGUCCACGCCGUAAACGAUGAGUGCUAGGUGUC